CUUUUUUCCUCCAAGAUAUCAUCAAAACCAACAAAGUAAACAUGAAAUAAACAAAGCAAACUCCUUUGUUAGUGAAACUGGAGGCAAAUAAAACCUACAGUCUCAAAAAACAAACAAAAGGAUAACAGCUGCCAAAAGCCAACAGAUGCAGACACUGGGAAGCUGAGGAGGAGCAAAGUGAUAUGGGGAAAUAAACAGGGCCACAGCUCAGCGGGAGGAGAGUGGAGCUGUUCAGCAGGUCUCAAGACGCCGGCAAAAUCACGGCUACUGUAGACAAAGGUCACCCCAAGGUUAUAAACCCGUAAGUCCACGUGCAACAAGAGCUGCAGGGUCAUGGAGGCCUGGGUGGAAACUGGCCGAAGACACGGCAGAUGAGCAGAGCAGACAAGGAGAGGAGAUGGAAUGGAGGCAGAUCUCAGAAAACGCUGGCAGCUACACUCCUGAAGAAACCUCCGGAAAAUUGCUAAGCCGAGAACAUUGUGUUUUAGCAUACAAAGACUAAAGGAAUAUUGUUCCCACAAGCCCUGCUUGAGGAAAUCACCAGGGAACAAAUGUAGUCAACCAAAAGAUGAUUGAGAAAACAACAGCAAAAGAGCUGACGACAUUCUCACCUACUCCUUGACCACCUGAAGGACUCCUUCUCAUCCUUGAAGACCUCACUCAAGUUUCUUUUCUUCUUUAAAGACUUCCUGAGUUCCCUCCUCUACCCCAAAAAAGUUAGUGGCCCCCAUAGCAAAUUUACUAAUUCCAUCAUUAUACCCCCAUUCUGUGUGGUAUUUAUUUCAUGCAUAUGUCAUCUGCUAAUCUGUGAAUUCUUCCCCUUUGAAGAGGGCCCAGUACAGGCCUGGGAGUUGGAAAUCAAUAAAUACAUGGUGGAUGACUGAAUAUUCUCUGUACACUUCUACAAGGGCUGACCCCUCUAACUAAACAUUAUGACAGAGGGUGUGUGUGUGUGUGUGUGUGUGUGUGUGUGUGUGUAUAUCUGGAACUGUGUAAAGAUAUGAGAAGGAAUGUCAUAUGUUUCUUAAAAAUAAAAAUGGUGUGAGCAGAA
RNAcentral lists this long non-coding RNA (1051 nucleotides) under Homo sapiens (human). Its description in RNAcentral is "HSALNT0223855". Lineage: Eukaryota; Metazoa; Chordata; Mammalia; Primates; Hominidae. The record is from RNAcentral.